GACGAACGCUGGCGGCGUGCUUAACACAUGCAAGUCGAACGGAAAGGCCCUGCUUUUGUGGGGUGCUCGAGUGGCGAACGGGUGAGUAACACGUGGGUAACCUGCCCUUGACUUUGGGAUAACUUCAGGAAACUGGGGCUAAUACCGGAUAGGAGCUCCUGCUGCAUGGUGGGGGUUGGAAAGUUUCGGCGGUUGGGGAUGGACUCGCGGCUUAUCAGCUUGUUGGUGGGGUAGUGGCUUACCAAGGCUUUGACGGGUAGCCGGCCUGAGAGGGUGACCGGCCACAUUGGGACUGAGAUACGGCCCAGACUCCUACGGGAGGCAGCAGUGGGGAAUAUUGCACAAUGGGCGGAAGCCUGAUGCAGCAACGCCGCGUGCGGGAUGACGGCCUUCGGGUUGUAAACCGCUUUCGCCUGCGACGAAGCGUGAGUGACGGUAAUGGGUAAAGAAGCACCGGCUAACUACGUG
RNAcentral lists this ribosomal RNA (468 nucleotides) under uncultured bacterium. Its description in RNAcentral is "partial 16S ribosomal RNA". It matches the Rfam family "Bacterial small subunit ribosomal RNA", at positions 28 to 507 of the family's 1533-position model. The record is from RNAcentral.